This 1329-nucleotide ribosomal RNA is filed under the name Triticum aestivum (bread wheat). RNAcentral's name for it is "partial small subunit ribosomal RNA". Lineage: Eukaryota; Viridiplantae; Streptophyta; Magnoliopsida; Poales; Poaceae. The record is from RNAcentral.
AUGAAAGGAAUCUUUUGGAAUAGCAGAGGUCUGAAAGACUUGGCUAAAAGAAGGUUUCUUGCUGAGGCUUCUAUUGAGCAUAGGUUGGACUUUAUCGCUUUAUCGCAAACUGGUAGAGCCGACUUUUCGCCUCAAUUUCUCAAUACGCUUUCGGGAGGUACUGAUUUUGAUUGGCAUUGUCUACCGCCACGAGGAAGAUCGGGUGGGAUUUUACUCGGAGUUAGAUGUGAUUCGUUAGAAGUCCGAAGCAUUGUCAUGGGGGAUUUCGCUGUUAAGUUUAGGGUGAGGCCGAAGACCGAUGGGUUUAACUGGGCUUUGGUGGCGGUAUAUGGAGCCGCACAGCCCAAGCUUAAACCAGAUUUUUUGGCUGAUCUGGUUAGGAUUUGUGGUUCUAAACAACUUCCUAUCCUGGUGGCCGGUGAUUUUAAUAUCAUCAGAAGGCGUGAUGAGAAGAAUAAUGAUAAUUUUGACGGCAGAUGGUCGUUCAUGUUUAACAAAAUCAUUGAAAGCCUGGAUCUGCGUGAGAUAGAGCUUUCGGGCAGGAAGUUUACCUGGGCUAACGCCUUGCCAAAUCCAACGUUCGAAAAGCUGGAUCGGGUUCUGGCUAGCGUCGAAUGGGAACAGAAAUUCCCAUGUGUAAUAGUCCAGGCACUUUCUCGUGGUAUUUCUGAUCACACGCCGUUAUUACUUGACUCUGGGAAGGCUACCCAUGUGGGAAAUAAGAAUGUUUUCUCUUUCGAGCUUGCGUGGUUUGAGAGAGAAGGUUUCUUAGAUCUCGUAGCCAGAGAAUGGGCUAUGGAUGCAGGAGGUAGAACUGUACUUGAGCGCUGGCAGAAUAAAAUUAGGCACUUGAGAAGUUUCCUACAUGGGUGGGCUAAGCAUCUUAGUGGGGUCUAUAAGAUUGAGAAGGAACAACUCCUUACGCUUAUUCAGUCCGUUGAUGUAAAAGCCGAGACCAUGAUCCUGCCAGCCUCGGAGCUUCAUGCCAAGAUCGACGCAGAAAUGAGGCUGAAAGAGCUCCUUCGUGAGGAAGAAUUAAAGUGGGUGCUUCGGGCUAAGGUCCAAAGGGUCGUCCAGGGGGACGCGAACACACAAUUUUUUCACAUGAUCUCCAAUGGUAAGUAUAGAAAGAAGAGGACCUUUCAGCUUGAACAAGAUGAGGGAAUGAUUCUUGGUCAGGAAAACUUAAAGCUUUAUAUUACUGAGUAUUACAAGCAGCUGUUUGGGCCUCCAGAGGAUAACUGUGUGUCGCUGGAUGAGUCUAGGAUUGAGGAUGUGCCUCAACUGACGGCUGUCGAGAAUGAUAUUUUAGUUGCUCCUUUUUUCUGA